AUUGAACGCUGGCGGCAUGCUUUACACAUGCAAGUCGAACGGCAGCACGGGUGCUUGCACCUGGUGGCGAGUGGCGGACGGGUGAGUAAUACAUCGGAACGUAUCCAGAAGAGGGGGAUAACGCAUCGAAAGAUGUGCUAAUACCGCAUAUUCUCUGAGGAGGAAAGCAGGGGAUCGAAAGACCUUGCGCUUUGGGAGCGGCCGAUGUCUGAUUAGCUAGUUGGUGGGGUAAAGGCCUACCAAGGCGACGAUCAGUAGUUGGUCUGAGAGGACGACCAGCCACACUGGGACUGAGACACGGCCCAGACUCCUACGGGAGGCAGCAGUGGGGAAUUUUGGACAAUGGGCGCAAGCCUGAUCCAGCAAUGCCGCGUGAGUGAAGAAGGCCUCGGUUGUAAGACGUACUUCUAGUCGAGAAGAAAGGAC
RNAcentral lists this ribosomal RNA (426 nucleotides) under uncultured bacterium. Its description in RNAcentral is "bacterial SSU rRNA". It matches the Rfam family "Bacterial small subunit ribosomal RNA", at positions 30 to 456 of the family's 1533-position model. The record is from RNAcentral.